This 111-nucleotide ribosomal RNA is filed under the name Myotis davidii. Lineage: Eukaryota; Metazoa; Chordata; Mammalia; Chiroptera; Vespertilionidae. The record is from RNAcentral.
GUCUACGGCCAUACCACCCUGAACGCACCCGAGCUCGUCUGAUCUCGGAAGCUAAGCAGGGUCGGGCCUGGUUAGUACUUGGAUGGGAAAGUGCAUAACAUAUGGUAGGUU